This 26592-nucleotide long non-coding RNA is filed under the name Capsicum annuum. Its description in RNAcentral is "long non-coding RNA (CANN_LNC020227)". Lineage: Eukaryota; Viridiplantae; Streptophyta; Magnoliopsida; Solanales; Solanaceae. The record is from RNAcentral.
GGGUGGUGGUGGUGACUUGUAAACUGGAGUUGGUGGUGAUGGUGAUUUGUAGACUGAGUGUGUAGAGAGUAGUAUGACUCCUUAGGUGGUGGUGGUGAAUUGUAAAUGGGAGUUGGUGGUGGCAGAGACUUAUAAACUGGUGCGGGAUUGAUAUAGCUCCUUGGGUGUGGAGGCGAUAUGUAGACUAGGGUUGGUGGAGGUGGUGACUUGUUGACUGGGUGUGUGGAGGGUAGUAAGGCUCCUUAGUAGUGGUGGCGACUUGUAAACUGUAGUCGGUAGAGGCGGUGACUUGUAGAUUGGGGUAUGAGGAGGGUAGUAUGGCUCCUUAAGUGGUUGUGGUGACUUGUAAACUGGAGUCGGCGAAGGUGGCGACUUAUAGACUGGGUGUUUGGAGGGUAGUAAGGCUCUUUGGGUGGGGGUGGCAACGUAUAAACUUGAGUUAGUGGAAGUGGUGAUUUGUAGACUGGGUGUGUGGGGGAUAGUAUGGCUCCUUAGGUAGUAGUGGUGAUUGGUAAAUAGGAGCCGGUGGAAAUGGCGACUUAUAGACUGGGUGUGUGGAGGGUAGUAAGGCUCUUUUGGUGGGGGUGACGACUUGUAAACUGGAGUUGAUGGAGGUGGCAAUUUGUAGACUGGGGUGUGUGGAGGAUAGUAUGGCUCCUUGGGUGGUGAUGGUGGUGACUAGUAAAGCGGAGUUGAAGGUGAUGGUGAUUUAUAAAGUGGUGCAGGAUGAUAAGGUGUUGGUGAAGGAUGGUAUGGCUCUUUUGGUGAUGGUGGAGAUAAAUAUUGAUAAUUUGCUGAGCUUUGGGAAGCCAAGCAAAGUGACACAAAAACCACUAAAAGAGUGGAAAAUAGAGAGGCCAUUUCUCCCAAAAAGAAACAAAGGAGAGAAGUUGUUGUCCCUUUAAGCUGCACUCAAAGCCCUUUGUAUAGCUUUCAUUUAGAAGGUAUAAGGCUAAAGUUAUGUAUUUUUAAUUAGUUUUGUCAUGUUGUCGGUUCAAUUUGACCUUUGUUGGUAUACUUUUUUUUUUUUGUUGGAUAGAAGGUGCAAGCUAAGCAAAGAAAUUAACUACUAUGGCAGCUAUACUAUUUAUGAUGCAAUAAUUCAAAAAAAAAUACGUGGAUCCCACAACUUCCCACAAGAUUUUAGUUAUAGGAAUCUGAGCACUUUUUUUUUACACUUAGGGUGUGUAUGGUACGAUGGAAAAUAUUUUCUGAAAAAUGUUGGUUGUAGUAAAAAAUAUUUUCUAAGAUAAUUCAUUUUUUCCUAUUUGAGGGAAAAUGACUUCCCUCAUGGACCAAGGGAAGUUAUUUUUCGGAAAAUGAUAAAUGUGACUUAUGCCCCCAUCCUCACCCCUCUUCCCACCCCAACAACACUCAUAUUCACAUAACUCAAAAAAUUCACAUUUUUAAAAAAUUUAUUUUACUCAAAAUAUUUUUCACUGUGCUUUGCUUCAAUUUUUCACUGCUUGAAAUAAAAAAUAGUGAAGCCCGACUUUUUUUCAUUUCCAAUGUUCGUUGAAUGUAUUGUUAUUUUCAUAUGCAUAGAGGAAGACUUACCUAUGUUACUUUUGCUAAUUGCAUAUUUUAUUUUGUCAUCGAUGUUACUUCUUUCACGAGGUUGAAUAAGCUUAUCGUCCCGUUAUAUUUCUAUUGAUUGUAGUAUCUUGAGAUUGUCCUGAAAAAAUGUUGAAAAGUGUCUCCUAUAUUUGCUAAUUAAUAGUUGCUUAAAUUUAGUGAUUGUAAUAUUUUAGUAUUCGAUAUUGAUAUUAUUUAUUAUGCUUAAAUUAGUUCUUACAAAUUGUUGAGUUGCUAGAUGCACUGAUAUACUAGUUAACAGUUAGUAGUAUUUUCUAAAAAAAAAAAUUUCACUCACCAAUCAAACACUAGAAAAUAUUUUUCUAAAAAAUAUUUUCUACUCACCAACCAAACACCAUAAAAUAUUUUUCGAAAAUAUUUUUCACUCACCAACCAAACAUGAGAAAAUAAAUAGAAAACCAACUUAUUUUCCAAGAAAACAUUUUUCAUGAAAAAUAUUUUCCAUCGUACCAAACACACCCUUAGUAUUUGAAGAAUUCAAUUCUUGUGGAUUCUGACAGCUUAACUAACCUUCACUUAAGUGCUGAGAAAUUUAAAACAAUAUGUAUACAGUAUCAUAUAUUCUUUAAAAGAAAUGAUAUGUCAUUGUUAAAAGAGUUUAAUCUAGAGAAAACUGUGCAUGUGACUCGCUUUCAUUACCAACUAAAUCAAUUAUGUUCUUUCCUUUUGUGUAGUAGAGCUAAAAGAAACAUCAACCGAUUAUUUUGUAGCUCAAUGUUGAAAACUUAUGUGGUUCAAUAUGAUAUCUCUGAAAAUUUUACAGCUUGUUUGAUAGCUGCUGCCUAAUAAUGUAUUGUAUCGUGUUGCUAGUUUAAAUAUAAUGUGUAUUUUGAUUGUUUCUUAAAUUUUACUGUAUCAUUAAAUCUAUAACUAGAUAGCAAUAAAAAGUCUCAUUUGGUGUAACGACCUAUUUGAUGUGAUCGCGUUGUUACCUUUUUUCCCCUUUUUAUUUAUUAUUUAAUUAUCUUAAUGCUCCUUUAUCCUAUAUUUUUAUAGUAACUCUACCUCACAUUUUUCUAUUUUCCUUCUAGGCUUAUCCUUGAACUGUUAUAUGAAGGAUGCAAUGUAAUGACGAAAAAGGUAUAAUAAAUCCAAAUAUCGUAACAUUCACUAAAAUAAUAAAGUACAUACAAUACAACAUGAUACUUUAUGAAACAAUAUCAUUCCAAGUUAAGGACUUGAUUAGAAUGUGCAUGUUAAGUGUCUGAUGGGUUACUUAAGUAUAAAGUUCAAGUCCAUAUAAAAAGAUAAACCCUAAUUAUAAUGCCUUCAUCAUGGCUGGUCGACAGUAGUCUACUACUGAAUUUCCUCCUUUGAACCCAAAUUCUAUUGUGAAUAUCCAAACCCUACCGUUGGAUAAAUCUUUUGUUGAAUCAAUCAGUACAACAAAGUUGGACACCGUCUCUCGCAAAGAGGUGGUCAUGGUGGAAGGAAUCCCGAAUGUCACACUGAAAAAAGUGGAUACAGUGAAUAAAAUGGAGAAUUUGCAAUUUGUUGUCAUAGGUAAAUUCACUUAAGAAUGGACGGGUAUAGAAGAAUUAAGGAAUAUUAUCCCACAGCAAUGCAACAUUAAUGGUGAUUGUCAAAUUGGAGUAUUCAGAAAUAAACAUAUUUUCAUUCGUUAGACACAGGAGUCGGAUUUUAUUAAUAUCAUCAUCUCAAAGGGAGCUUUUUCCUUGCACUGUAAGGAUGGGUUCUCUUAUUUGAUGCGAACACUCUCACACUUAUCUAUGAUCCCCUUUUCAAAGAAACUUUAGAGACUACAAAGACUUUCGCAUGGAUUUCUUUCCCAAAUCUAUUGCCUACCUAUUAUGUCAAGGAAUGUUUGUUUUCUUUAGCUGCAACAGUGGGAAAGCCUGUCCAACUUGAUCUAGCCACCAUUAAUAGGACUAGACCAAGUUGUGCAAGGAUUAAGGUCUUGGUUGAUCUAAAAGCUGAUUUCUCUAAAUCAGUCCGGAUGGAUAUUGAAAAUGAAGAGUCAGGUAAAUGCAGGACAAUAGUGAAGCGGAUUAAAUUCGACCAUAUUCCUAAGUAUUGUCAUGAAUGCAAUAUGCAAGUUCAUGCUAAGAAUCAAUGUAGAAACUUAGGCACCCCAGAGGAUGCAACAAUGGCAGUAACAGUGGAUAAUAAGGAAUAAAAGAGGCCAGUACAACAUCUUCCUAAAUUCACAAUGCCUUUUGUACACAAAUUUCAAAACGGAAAAGCAUGAGUUCUUUCGAGUGGGAUUGUAGUUGGAGAUCCUACUAACUGGAUGGUUAUUAAAAAUGAUAAGAGGAUAGUUAAUACUUCCCAACAGCCUCUUUUAAUGAUAUAGUUAAUACUUCCCAACAGCCUCUUUCAAUGACAAAUAACCAAUUUGCUGCUCUAGCUACCGACGACAAAGAACCUGCUGAAUUAAACAUUUCGACAAAGGAGAGUUCAAACCUUAAGGCAUGUACGGAUGUGUUCCAAAUAAUAAGGAAAAUGAAAAAGUUAAUCUGUGGUCCAAUAAAGAAUCUGCUAAAGAGUGGGUAUCAAGGGAUUUUGGCAAGCUAGGUGAAGUUCCCAAUUCUGUAAUACCUGUACAGCAACAAGGCAGUCAGCAACUAAGUAAUCAACAACAAAGGCAAGAUAGAGAUAAUAAUGCUAAAGAGAAUAAUAAAGAUGGUAAUGGGAUGGAGAAUGAUAUGCAGGUUAAAUCUUUAAUAAAUCAGGAGCAUAAUAUUGAUGAUGGUCAGCAACAAUGCCUCAUAGUCAAAAAGGACAAUCUGCAAUCUAUAGAAGAUGUGCAACCAGAUACCAAGCAAUAGUCAAUGCAGAUUAAUCAAGAUUUUUACAGUGGAAGCUAUGAUAAUGGAGAUAGGUCAGUUGAGGAAAGUGUGGGGAUAACAGUUGUGAUGCAAGGGGAACAAAAUGUGUGUUUAGAAAUAAUGGAGAUUCCAAAACCAGUGCAGAUAGAUGAAUCAUUUAUCGUUACCAAGAGUUCUCCCAACAAAGUAAUACAUGACAUUGUCUCUCAUAGUUUAGGGUACAUUAAAUGCAGUAAUCAAACUCACAUGGCCAAAGGAGUUAAAGAAGUAGAUGUAGAAGAUGAUUCGAAGGAUCAUGCUCCAUCGGAAGCUGAUUUAUCACCAAGACUGAUGAAAAUCUCUAAAAAAGGAUAAAAAAGAAUGUGGAUGGGAGAAAACUCACAACCUACCAGAGUUCAUCCUAAGCGAUCCAAAUCUGCCCUAAAUUAUCAAUGAAAGCACUUAUUUGGAACAUUAGGUCUGUGAAGACACAACAAGAUUUCAAAGACUUCAGAUGCUUAAUAAUUAUCAUAAGUUCACCGGUUUCAGUUUGUUAGAGCCUUUUCAGAAUGUUAGAUAUAAGAGAAGAUUGAAAAUGCAUAGGGCUAUGUCAAACUGCAAUAGCAAGAUUUGGUUUUUCUCCUCUCAAGAUGUGAUAACAACUGUUAUUAAAGACACUGAUCAUCAGCUACAGUUCACUUGCAGGAGUAGGCUCAGAGCUUAGAUUUAUUACUCUUGUUUAUGCAAAGUGUUCUAAAGAGGAGAGAUUAAUCUUAUGGAAGGAUAUUUAUCAAGUUGCUUCUGGAAUUUCAAAACCUUGGAUGCUAGGAGGAGAUUUAAUGUUGUUUUGAAUUCUGAAGAGAAAAUUGGUGGCCUUCCAAUUCUUGAUGCAGGCCAUGGGGACUUUCAAUCAUGUAUUUCUUAUUGUGAUUUGAUGGAGAUACCUUUUAAAGAAAGUUCUUUCACUUGGUGGAAUGGUAGAGCAGGUAAUGACUGUAUUUUAGAAAGAUUGGAUAGAAUUUUUACUAAUCAACAACAACAACAACAACAACAACAACAACAACAAACCCAGUGUAUUCCCACCUAGUGGGGUCUGGGGGGGUAAGAUGUACGCAGUCCAUACCUCUACCUCUGCUGAAUUUUUACUAAUCAAGAUUUACAAAAUAAGUUCAAUCACAUGAAGGUAGAACAUCUUGCUACUAGUUCAGAUCAUGCUCCCAUGUUGUUGUAUUGUUAUGACAGAGCUAUCAGUUACAAGAAAUCUUUUAGAUUUCUUAAGUUUUGGACUGAUCAUCCUAAGUUCCUAGAAGUAGUAAGGCAGAAUUGGUGUUCUUCAGGUUCUCAGAGUCCAUUCUUAGAUUUCAAAGCAAAGAUUAAGAGAAUUAAAGUUGCUUUGACAAGAUGGAGUAAAGAGACUUCUGGGGAUAUUUUUAAAUAGUUGAUAAUCAGGGAAGAAAUUGUCAAGAUCAAAGAGAAAUUAUUUGAGGAAUGCCCUACGGCUGAUAACAGCGAAGUGUUGCAAAGAGCUCAGUCCGAGCACAAAAUAUAUCUUCGUUUUGAAGAGAUUUUUUGGCAGCAAAAAGCAGGUUAUGACUGGUUUGAGAAUGGUGACAGAAAUAUUAAAUUUUUUCAUAGCACUGUGAAGGGGAGGAGGAAAAGAUUGAAUUUGAAUAGAAUUCAAAUUAAUCAGGGUAUUUGGCUGGAUAAAGAAGAAAAGAUAGCCGCAGAGGUUGUUAUGUUUUAUCAGGACCAAUUUAGACAAGAACAAGAGGCUAAUGUUUUUUCAUAACUGAAUAAUAUACCUAAGAGUAUUUCUGAUGAGCAAAAUAUUGUUUUAAGUCAGUAAGCUGAUCUUGAAGAAGUUAAAAAGGCACUUUUUAGCUUAAAUGAAUAUAGUGCAAGUGGCCCGGAUGGGUUAACAAGUAGGUUCUAUCAGGUUCGCUGGGAUAUUAUUGGUAAUGAUGUUCUUAAUCUGGUGCAAGAUUUCUUAAAAGGUAAUACUCUUCCCAAAUUCAUUAUUCAUACUAAUUUGGUGUUGCUUCCCAAGAAGGAUUUUAUUCAAUUUUUCUCAGAUUUGAGACCAAUUAGUCUUAAGUAAUUUUAUUAAUAAGAUCAUUUCUAGGAUUGUGCAUGACAAAAGUGAACUUCUUUUGCCUAGACUGAUUUCUUUUAAUCAAUCUAAAUUUGUCAAAGAGAGAAGAAUUAUUAAAAAUUUCCUCCUGACUCAAGAGAUAGUUACUGACAUCAGAAAAAUGGGUAAGCCGGCUAAUGUGGUCUUAAAGCUUGAUAUGACUAAGGCUUAUGAUAGGGUUUCCUGGUUUUUCCUGAUGAAGGUUCUAAGAAAAAUAGGGUUCUCAAAAUUGUUUAUGGACUUGUUUUGGAGAUUAUUGUCUAAUAAUUGGUAUUCUAUACUAAUUAAUGGGCGAUCACACGGCUUUUUUCACUCAACUAGGGGAGUAAAACAAAGAAAUCCUUUAUCUCCAGCUUUCUAUUUGAUGAUGCUCAAUAUGUAGGUUAUGAUAUGCCAAAGUGGAGUUCCAAUAUUAAUCAUCUUGCUUAUGCAGAUGACACUAUUAUAUUCGCUGCAGCUAACAGAUACUCUUUGAGAAAGAUUUUUUCAGUGUUACGGGAAUAUGAAACUCAAUCAGGGCAAAAAGUUAAUAAAGAGAAGAAUGCUUUCUACAUGCAUCAGAAUUCAGCUGCAGUUGAUAAACAAAUGGUGGAAGAUUGUGCGGCUAUUUCUAAAGGCCAAUUUCCUUUGAAAUACCUUGAAUGUCCUAUCACUCAUGCUAGAAAAAGAAAGAGUCAUUAUUCAGAGCUAAUUCAGAAGGUUAAGUCAAAAUUACAGGCUUGAAAAGGUAAUAUUCUCUCAUAUGGGGGGAAAGGAGGUCCUUAUCUCUAGUGUUCUUCAAAGUGUUCCUAUACAUAUCCUUUCUGUUGUUGUCCCUCCUAUUUGUGUAUUGAAGGAGCUUCACAGAAUAUUUGCAAAUUUUUUUGGAGUAAUAAGGCCGAUGGAAGAAACAAACACUGGGCUGCUUGGGUAAAGGUGUUUUUACCAAAACAGAAGGCAGUUUGAGUUUUAGAUCGAUGUUUGAGGUAUCUCAAGCCAUGUAUCCUAAGUUCUGGUGGAAGUUCAGAACUCAAAAUACUACUUGGUCCAACUUUAUAUGAGACAAGUAUUGCAAAAAGCAAAUACCUUCACUAGUUUAAUGGAAAGGUGGCUCGCAAGUAAGGAAGCAUAUGUUGCAAAAUAGGGAUCUAGUGGAGCAAUUCUUGUGGUGGAACCUAAAGGAGGUACUUCUACAGUUUGGUAUGAUAAUUGGACUCAACUUGGUCCUCUUUUCAAACACCAGGUAGAGGUCAUUCUUCUUUUCCAGUGAUGGAUAUUGAGGAAUUCAUGUUGGGCUCAGACUGGGAUUUUGAGAAUAUGCAAUAUCAUUUAUCAGAUAAUGUAGUAGAGCAUGUAAGAUUACAUUUGAGGCUUGUACGACAUCCUGGAGAAGGUGACAAGCCCUGGUGGAUUAAAUUUAGUUCUGGCAAGUUCUCGGUUAAAAGUGCUUGGGAAGAACGGAGGAAAAAAACGUUUGUAAUGAGUCAUUUCAGAAGAUCUGGGUAAAAGAGAUUCCUUUCAAAAUUUCUUACUUUGGUUGGAGAGUUUGGACAAAUAGGAUUCCUGUAGCCUCUGUUUUAGCUAAUUGGAAUCCUAACUUGUCUCCUCUUUAUUCAUAUUGUGUUUCAAGAAAUCAUGGAGCACCUCUUUCUAAAAGGUGAAGUGGUUUAUUUCGGUUUGGAUUUAUUACGCCAAUGCUGCAGGUAUUCUGGGGCCCUGGGUUCAAAUUAAACUAUCCAUAAAGAAGUGGUGGGAUAUAAAUGGUAAUUAAAGACAAAGAUUCAUCUUUCAGGUAGUUCCUACUCUCAUUUUGUGGUUUUUACGGAAAAGAAGGAAUGCAUUAGUUCAUGGAGGUUCAUACUCUACAGCCAAGGUUAUUUGGGAUAUUAAUGGUUUAAUUAAGAAAAUUCUCAGAAAGAAGUUUGGUUAUGAUCAGUUACCAUCUAGUUGGCCUCAAAUAGUUGCUUUUUGACUUAUUUAGACCUACAUUUUUAUCUAGAUGGAUAAGAUGGUAUCCCCCACCUAGGGGAUAGUGGAAAUAUAACACUGAUGGAACCUCGAGAGGUAAUCUAGGUCGAAUUUCAGCUGAUUUUUGUGUACGAAAUCAUGUAGGUGAUCUUGUGUAUGCUAAGGGUUUCUCUAUUCCAGAUUCCACUAAUCUGGUUGUUAAAGUCAUUGCUAUAGGAGUUGGUUUACAUUAUUGCUUAGAAAAUCAAAUUGUCAACAUUAUUGUGGAAUCUGAUUCCCUUGUAGUAGUCAACAUGAUUAAUGGAGUGUGGGAAAUUCCUUAGAGUGUGAUAAUGGAGGUCAACUCCAUUAAAGAUAUGAUGGAUUCUUGUUCAGCAAGAGUACAACACUCCUUAGGAAAGGGAAAUACUCUUGCUGAUUAUUUAGCUAACUUGGUUUUUCAUUUUGCAGGUAACUUUGAAUUCAACAGUUUUCAUGAAAUUCCAAGCGCAGGUAGGAAGAUUAUCAAUCUAGACAAACAAGGCAUUCCACAAAUGAGGAUAAGACAGUGUACAUCAACUAAUUCAACAAGGGAUGGAUCGCUACUGCAGAUUACAAAGUGAAUUUACAAACUCUAUUAGCAGUGACUAGUUACUGGUGAAUUUAGUGCAGUCUGAAUUAGUUUCGUUUGGUUAACAUACCAUGCACCUGUGGGAAUUUUUAGGUGUUACAUAGAGUAUAAACCCAGGACUCACUUAUACUAGUUGCUAAUUUCUAGGUAUAGAGUUUAUAAAAAUCAAGCACAAAUUUAGAGGCAUUUCAUAGUCUCAAAUCUGUUGAUGAGGAGAGGAUGGAGUACCCGGGACCUCAAAUUUAGCGGCGGAAGAUAGACAGGGUAUAAUUAUCAAGCAAUACAAUUCUUUUAUACAGAUUCCACUUCAGAGAAGAACAAAAAUAAUCAUUGCCAACUUAUGGAUUGCAAAGUGUCAAAAUACAAAUUUCAGCAUUUGGAGUAACACAAGAAGGCAAGGAGCAAGAUAAGUAUUAAUGGACAGUAGUGGUGAUUAACAUUCACUAAUACUGAUUGAUUUCUAAGUCAUACAAUUGAAAUGGGGGUUAAGGUGAACCUGUUAGUUCUGGAUCCUUGGUGGUGGUAUCAAUCUCCUUGAGGUUUAUUCCGCUAGGAAAAAGAGAGAACAGUGAAAUCAUUUUUUUCAUUUCACAGAUGAGUUUAGAAUAGAAAAAGGGAGGUGACUUACCAUAUCAUCUGCAAUAAAUAUUUAUUGAUUUGGAGCUGUAGAAAUUUAGUUGAAACCAAUUUCAUGAAGUUUGUAAGAGAUUAAAGUGUCUUAGUGAAAUUUGAUGGAUGUUCCAUGGCAAUAAUGGCUUCCACAACUUAAUGCAACAACCAGAUGAGGUUGGAGUAGCAAAGAUUGAAACCAUAGUUGCCUCUCCGUGAUGUCUUUCAGCUUUGAGUUUUAUCCACACAUUCCUUUUCCUGCUUACAUUUUCUGUUUUUGGUCUUUUCAGAUGUCUGGAUAUAUUUGUUGCUUUUGUUUUGGACCCGGGUCUUGCUUAACUUGGGCCAAUUUGUACAUAUCUUUUCUGCUCCUGAAUAAAUUGGGCUCUGGUCCAUCUUCAAUUAAAAAAAAGGAAAAAUGACAUGGACUGACCAGUUUAAAAAAAGGAAAUUUUGCAUAUAUACCGACAUGUUUACUCUUAAUUACCAAAAAUUUCAACAUUUUUCAAAAUCUCCAAAAAUUCCAACAUUUGACCUCUGAUAAUACAAGUUAAUCACAUUAGAUACAUACUGUUGAUAUAUGUAUCUAAUGUGAUUAACUUGUAUCAUACAUUAGAUAUAUGUAGGGUUACAUUAGAUACAUGUAGGGUUACAUUAAAUACAUGUAGGGUUAACUUGUAUCUCAAAAAUAGUCCCAAAUAUGAAAUGUUGGAAUUUAUGUAAUUUUUCAGAAGUAGGGGGAUUUUUAGAAAUUUUGAAAGUUAUGAUGUUUAUUUAUGUAAUUUUUUGUUAAAAAGAAAAAAAAUAGCCCACACUAUGAAAAUAUGGACAAUUGGAGCCAGUAGACCCAAUUUAUUUCCUGUUUUUUCAGUCAUUUGGCCCAAAACUAUUCUCCUUACACAAUUAAGGGGAUUAAAUACUCUUCACAGUAGGCUACUCUUAAAUCACUUUUCUUUUCAAACUAUACUUUCCCAAAAAAAUGUUCACCUCUAUUAUGUGUCGAUCAAUCUACUGUGUUUUGUGAUAACAAUUGAGUUAGUAGGGCACAUGCAGUCUCUAUACCCAAUUGAUACACUUUUGUACCAUAUUGAUACAUGUUUAUACCCAAUUGAUACUCUUUAUACUACAUUGAUACACUUUUAUACUCAAUUGAUACUCUUUUAUACUAGAUUGAUACACUUUUAUACCACGUCGAUACAGUAUGUAUAUUACAUAAAUACAUCUUUUACAGAGGAAAUUUGUGCAAGCAUAUACAGUAACAAUACCAAAUUAAUACAGUAAAUCAAAAUUAGUAAGUACGAACAUAAUUGAUACUCUUUAAAAUUAUAGUAUUAAUAGUACAUAAAGUAACAAAAAAAAAGAUCAAAUCAUCUUUCCAUCAAUUAUUGUUUUGAUUUAGUUCAUUCUUUCUCCUUAACGCUCUUUUAUAUUUCUAACUUCCUCUUCCUACCUUUAUUUUCUCUUCUUUUUUUCUUUCCUUCAUUACUAAGUUAGUUGUAAACACCCAUAUGAUGAAGUAUGUAUUUACUCUUGAGUUGAUGUCAUAUUUAUCCUACUAAGAAAAAUCACAGGUUCUGUAAGGAAUUGUCUAGACAUGGAGUACAUAUAAAAAUUUAUUCUGCCACUUGAAAAAAACCUGUAAAAAACUAAUUAAAUUCAGAUUUUUUGAGAUUUUAUACAAAAUUUAUGAAAUGAGAAAGGUAAAUUGGAGUAUCGAAAAAAGGUAAAGGAACAAAUAUUUAGGAGUUUGAAUGGAAAGGAAACUGGGAAUGAAAAGAAAAGAAAGAAAGGGAAAGUUACUUCAAGGAUGUUUUUGAUUUUGUUUAAGCGUAUGACAGUGAAGGUUAGUUAGUGGAAUUACUCUGUGUCUAUUUAUGAUGUAUUUAAUUUUGACUGCUAUUUUUUUAUAUUAUUUUAGUUUUAGGUGUUAUUUCUGUCAUUUGCCCAAAAAAAAAAACUUACUAUUUUACUACAAUUCUUGUUGGUAAGAAUACAUUAUUUCUUUUUUUUUUUUAGGGCAAACAACAUAAAUUUCGAGAAUUUGGAGCUUAAUUACAGAAAAUUCUGAUAUUUUGCAUAAUUGUUGAAAAUCUCAAUUUUGGAUCUGUUGAGAUACAUUAUUAGCUUCUGAUACAAUCAAAAAGAUACAUUUUUAACUUUGUAUAGAUAUAUAAUUAGCUUCCGCUACAUAUUUUUUAAAUUUUGCGUUUGUUGAGAUAUAUAAUACAUCCAAUGAAGAUAUAUUUUUUUCUUUGUAAAGAUAUAUAAUUAGCUCCCAGUGCAGUUUUUUUAUUUUUGGGUCUGUCGAGAUACAUAAUAAGCUUUCGAUACAUCCAACGAAGAUAUAUAAUUAAUUGAGCUUUUUGUAGUUAUUUUGUAAGAGUGAAAAUUUUGUAUAAAUAUAAUAAGUUAAGAUGUAUAUUUAUACUAUUUUUCCAUAAUUUGCUUGCGAACCAAAUCGACCACUAAAGAAUUGAAAAGUUAAACAAUUUGUUCCCAAUACAGAACAAACUUUAGCCUAAAAUUUAAUGCUAAAAAUUACUACAAUGAGCUGAGUGGCUGAAAUGGUGCCACUUAAGAAUAAUUUGGUGGAUGAAAUGAAUGAAUUGUUUUGGAGUACAAAUUUUGAUUUAGACAAUCUAUUGAAAUUUAUUAUAGUACUGUUUAUAUUUAGGGGCCAUUUUUCAGGAUCUAUGAAAAAUUUAUAAUGUUGAGUAGAACAUACUAUAAAAGUAAUGUUGGAUAGAGCAUAUCACACAUUAGCACAAUCCUAAUCAAUAAUGAUAGCUAUUCAUCUCUAGUUCACUUUUAUAGUUAAUCAAAGAAUUAUUAACAACGAAAAUUAAUUUUCUUGUUUUGGUUUUCUAUCAUUGAAUCAGCAAUAGUUUGAUAUAAGAACUAUUCAGAACAGACUAAAUUAAAGAGAAAGAUGGAAUACCGUCAAUGAAAAUAAUAGGAUAUGAUAUCUUCAAAGAUAAAGAAGGCAGUGAACUUUUUACACAUAUAAUACGUAUAAUUAUUAAAGAAUAUAAAAGAAAUUAAAAAAAGGACAUACAGUACAUAUAUAAACUGGAAAAGAAGAUCAAUAAUGUAAAAGUUUGAUGUUAACACUGUUCCUUAAUUAAAAUUUCCAUAAUGAUUAUACUCGCUAUUUUCUUUCAUUUGCACAAAUCAAUAUGCUCCUUUCCCCCCUUUUUUUCUCCUGAUCACUCCUUAAAGAACGAGACAUAUAGCAUACAUAGAGAAGAGAGUACUUUGUCUCCCUCAAUAAAUACCUUGAGAAAAAAAUGUAACUCAUUAGUAGUUUCUUGAUUUUGUAAAAUUUUCUUUAUUUAAAAAAGAGUAACAUUGGAAGAAGGUCAUUAGUAUCUUUUUUAUUAUCUAAAACAACAUUUAUUAUCUUUUUUAUUAUCUAAAACAACAUUUAUUAGGAGCAAAAUAAAAAAGCUAAACAACCACUUAUUAGAAACAGAGGGAGUACUAAUUAUCUGAUAGUGUUUUCAGUGUUACGCAUCAUGAACUAAAAGCUUAAUUUAAGAAGCAUUGACUGCUUAAUGAAAUCUUUUAAUUCACAAUGAUAAUAAGGAAAUCCAAUUUGUGUUGUAUCAUUCUAGCCUUUCCAUUUUUUAUGGAGACAAAGCAUUAAUAGACAAAUGGAGAUUGGACAUAUCAAGAUUUCAGUCUCAUCCUGUCAAAUCAUUAAUUGUAAAACCUUCAUGUAUUUCUAUGUUCAGCCUAAGAUAUUAAGGGGUUAAUAUUCUUUCAAAACAUGGAGAGUUUCUGAUAUUGGGAGACAUGGUUGUUUGUCGAAUAUAUUUAUUUCUCAAUAAUUGAAAUAUAUAAUUGUAUUUGAUGUGAAGAAAGUAUUAGUUAAAAUGCAGUUUGGUUCAUUUUGGCUAGGGAUUCCAUCCUUUCCAUGUAUAAAAGUUUUUGAAUGUAAGGAUGAGAAAUCAAGGUAUCUGCUACACUUUUUUUAUAUAUACGUGUAGCGCAUGUAUCGAGAAAUUAGUAAAAGAAAAAAAAAAUUCCUCAGCUAAUUCUCAAUCAACACCAACUCCAUCUUAGGAAAGUGUGGUUGGUUCUGUUCUUCCUCGAAUUCAAUGAAUUUUUGUCAUAUUGUCAUACAUAUAACGAAUAAUAUAUAUAUNNNNNNNNNNNNNNNNNNNNNNNNNNNNNNNNNNNNNNNNNNNNNNNNNNNNNNNNNNNNNNNNNNNNNNNNNNNNNNNNNNNNNNNNNNNNNNNNNNNNNNNNNNNNNNNNNNNNNNNNNNNNNNNNNNNNNNNNNNNNNNNNNNNNNNNNNNNNNNNNNNNNNNNNNNNNNNNNNNUAUGCCUCUUUUCCUCUUUAAAUUUUAAAGUAAUAAUUAAGAAGAAAAAAGAAGAAGAUACUAUUCAAUAAUUUAAUUCUGAUACCAUCAACAUGGAAGACUCCAUUUGCUUCAUCUAACAAUGGACUUUGGCAUUAUAUAAUUAACAAAACAAUUAAUUAUUAGGAUAACUUAAUCACCGACAAAGGUUUCUUACUAUUAUCCUUAUGAGAUUCCACUAGUUAAGCUAAAUAUUUUUAAUCGACGUAAGAGUUAUGAAUGUAUAAACAAGUAGAUCUUAGCUACAUUGACCUAGUCAAUCAUUAUUAUUACCGACAUAUUUAUGCUAUACAAAUAUUUGUCCUAAUGCUAUCUUUUAUUUAUUUUUUUAAUGGAAAAGGGUCAAAAAGAUUCCUGAAUUAUUCGAAGUGGAGCAAAAAUAUCCCUCAUUAGUUUUUUGUCUCAAAAGUAUCCCUCUCUAAUGAAAUAACACCAAGCAUGUCAUGUAGACAAAAUACGUCACUUGAACAGUUCACGUCAGAUCGACCAUCUUUAUUAAAGGUGAAUGCUCCAUUAAAUGAGAGAUUUUCCAUGUGGAUAUUGGCGCCUAGCGUGGACUGUUCAAGUGGCGCUUUUUGUCCACGGACAUACUUAGUAUCAUUCUGUUAGAGAGAUGAAUAGUUUUGAGCCAAAAAUUUAAUGGAGGAAUAGUUGUAAGCAAAAAAAUUAACGAAAGAUAUUUUUACUUUAUUUCAAAUAAUUUAGGAAUAUUUUUAAUCGUUUUUUGCUUUUUUAUGAUUUCUAAGUUGCUUAUAAUUUUUUUAUUACUACAUGAUUAACAAUAUUUUUUUAUUUCCAUAAAUAACAGAGAGUAAACUAAGUUGCACCUUAAUGGUCGAAAAGUAUUCACUAUUUUUUUUAGACUUAAAGAGGUGAUUCUGAUACAUGUCUUAUGAACAAUCAUUACAAAUUUUAUUAUUUUAAAUUUUGUUUUAGAUAAGUCUAUGAUUAAGUUGUUGGUGACCAAUUUAUUCAAUUGAGUGAGGCUGGCAUGUCCAAAGAUUUUAGGACGAAGAAACGGGUUAUUAUGUUAAUUAGGUAGAUUUAUUUUAGGGAGAAAUAAGACAUAUGCUUUAAUUUGUAAAUAUUAAUAAGUAUUUUUCCAUUUAAGCAUAGCUUCUUUUAAAUUUAAAUUAGUAAUCAAACAGUGUUUAGUAGUAUUUUCUACCUUGUUGGCUUUGUCACACAUUUGAGAGAUGCUAAAAAUGUGUAUUAAAAAAAAAAUAAGAUGGAAAGAGAAGCAUACUGGCUCAAAGGUAAAGCCGCUAAAACGUGCUUUAAGGUUCAAAAAUAGUAUUUUUAUUAUAUAAUUAGUCUCUCCUAUGUUUUACAGUUUAUAGUCUAUAUGCAAUAAAUCAAAUUCUAUUAUAUAAUUUUUUAUAUAAAAAUAAAAGUUUCUUUAAAGUUAUUAAAGGAUGUCCAUUUGUUGUAAUAAAAUACAUUGAUUUUGGUUCUCAGAAUCCUAUUGGUACAUAAUAAACUUUGGCUAUUUUAAUUCAAAGUUUUAAAAUAUCAAAUACAAUUCUAUAAUCUUUAACUAAAAAUUUAAAAAUAAGAUUAUUAAACUUCCGAUGAUAUGAUUGUAUAAGAAAAUAAUAAACAUUUUAAAAUGUUAUUGUAACUUUAUAUAAUACAUGUAACAGUAUUUUUCUAGUGAUUAUAAGAAGAAUUUUAUUGAAAAAUCAAACGUAAUUGUAACUUGCGGUAUUGAAAGUAAAAUUUGAUGGCGAGGAAAAUAUGAGUCCAUUCUUAUGUCAUUAAAAUUUAUAAACCUUUUUAUUAAGAUGACUUGAAAAUGGUAUUUAACUAUAUAUAAUUUAUAAUUUUUUAAUUAUCAUAAAUAAAAUAUUUCAUUUUCGUGAUAUUUUAGUUUGGAUUGCUUUCUAUCUAUCAUUAAUGACAAAAUACAUCGUCAGACCCCUUAAAUUGACACCAUUUUUCACUUUGGCAUCUUAAGUGGACAUUGUUCACCUUUGGCAGUUCAAAUAACCAUAAAGUGUAUCAUUUUGACAUCUUUCGACAUCAAUAAAAGUGUGUGUUACACUCACUGUCAACGUGGAUAAAACGGCCAACUGAUUUAUGCCAAUUCAUUUAAAUUGCCACAUCAUUAUUUAUAUUCACAAUUAGUUUUAAAAAAAAUAAAAUCAAAACAUAUGGCAAUUAAUGACAUAAUUAUCUAACUCAUUAAUAUAUAUACAAAAUUAAAUUAAAAGAAUCAAUUAAUUACUGACACGUGACAUUUUUCAAAAUAAUUAUAAAAUUAUUUAUUUUAUUUGGACAACCCUCCACCCACCUCCCACCCCCAAACUCCAAAGUCAUCUUCUCUACCACCAUCUAUCCCCCCGAUACCCCCCACCCUAAAUCAUCUUCUCUAUUUGGCAACACCCCUCUUCCCGUCAUGUUCUCCAUCUCCCUCCCCCCCCACCACCCCCAACCCCUGCCUGAGUCAUCUUAUCCUCUCCAUUUGCCCCUUUGAAAAGAUGAACACUCAAUCAAAGAUUAUAGUAUAUAUGUAUAUCAAAGACCUUGAUUAGUCAUAGCUUGACCUCAAAAAUUAGAAGGCAUUAAAUGACUGUUUUUUUUCUUAACAAAAAAUAAAAAAGAAAUGAUUGACCUUGAAAUAUAUUCAUCAGUAGUAUGUGUGAACCUAUUCUUUGGCAACGCAGUGGUCUUCUUACUACUUCAGUUGCAGUCAUAACAUGUUGACAAAGAUGGUGAUUGCUCAACAACAAAUCACUCGUUGUUGUUAGUGUGUUAGUGUGUUUCGUUAUUCUUGAAAAGUUCAACCUCCAUUAAUGGAAGUUAAGCUAAAGAAAGGUUGUGUGAAGAAGGCAAUGUGAGGAAAUUUUUUGUAAUUAUUUGGUCAAUAAAACAUGUGCCAUUAAUUUAUUGGAUCAAUUUUUACUGAUUUGGCAAUAGAGAUUUUCAAUAGUUUUAAAAAAAAUUUAAAGAUGAAAAAUUACAAAAAUAUCCCUAAAAAUUUAUGAAAAUACUCUUCAAACGCUCCAAAAAGUGAGCAACGUCCACUUGAAGUGCCAAAAUGAAAGAUAGCACCAAGUUGAGGACCGACAAUAUAUUCUUUCUUCAUUAAUUAGUGCAUGUACUACUCCUGUACUCCAUUGGUUUUGAUUUUUUCUUGUUCCUGCACAUUAUUUCUCCUUUUUUACUGUCUAUAUAGUACUAUUUUUUAACUUAGUAUGUUGAAAUUAAUUAUUUUUUAUUUGCAUAUGAAAAAGAAAUACUUAACUAGAUUGAUUCUUAUUCGUAUAUAAAAAGUUAAAAUAGUGAAAUUCAAGAAAAAUAUAUGAAUUUUAUAUUUGGCUUUAGAUGGCUAAUUAUAUUAAGCCGCCCUUGAAGGGACGGUGAAUUGUAAUAUUUUUUGUGGUUGACUAUGAGGCGAGCUAUAAUAUGAAAUCAAAUAAGUAACAUAGUAUAAUUAUGUGCUAAGUAAUGUGUCAUAUGAUAUUUUUCAAUUGAUUUGAAUUCAGUGUGAAUUAUAGUUAGUCCUUCCUUUUGGAUUUUUGUUAAACUGAAAUUUUCAUUUUUAUUACAUAGAGAGAGAAGUUAUAAAAAGGAUGAUUACAACGUGUUGUAACUUUUCAGGACGAAGAACAACAAGUCAUUGUUUUAUUAAAGAGGGAUUGUCCCUUGUCCAUAUCAGCUUUCAAGAAAAUAACAGAACAAAUGUUGAAUCUACUACUAUGAGAAAUUCAUCAUUUGUUUUGUUGGAGUUAGCCAAUGUCUGCUUUCUCCUUCCUAAUCCUAAAAUUAGCCAAACCAACUUUAUCCAACCUAUAAGUCCUUUAUAUUCAUCAUUAAGCUCUUGAAAUUGUUGUUGAGUACAAUGUUGAGGGUGUACUUAAUUUCUAAUCAUACAAUAGCGGUCUUUUUCACUCUUUGUAGUUGAUAUAUUGCCUCACCAAACACUAUUUUCCUCUCUUCGCUCUUUUUAAAUACACAAUAAAUGAAUUAGGAAGUUACAAUGCUUGUUAAGAAUAGCAUAGAGCUUUGGAGAAUGUUUGGACAGGAUGUACAGUUUCUUUUCCUAGAAGGCAUAUAUAGUCUUUGUGUGCUUGAUGUCUUGAAAAAGGAUAGAGAAAGACAAUCCAUACUACAUGAAAAAUAUUGAAUUGAGACAUAAUAUUUAUCAAUGGACAAGUCUGGCAUAGAGUUUAAACGGAUUUGUGAUAGAAUUAACUAAUUUAUAGUGUUGAUUUUAAUUUUUUCAAAAAUAAAUCAUAAAAUAGAUUGCCUAGCUUGACGUGUUAUGUGAUAUUAUGCAUAGAUUAAGUCCAUUGGAGGUUGUCUGAUUAGAGAAUCGGACAAUGCUUAGCAUGGGAAUUUCAUUGAAUAUGGAGCUAAGUGAGACUUUAAUCUCUCAUUUACUUGCUUUUUCAAAAGCAUUAUUUAAAACUGAGAAAUCGCUUCAAACUACUCCUCCACCCCAUUUUAGUUGGGCACAUUCUAUUUUAUACGGUGAUUAAGAAUCAUAAAUUGAAUGAUAAAUUUUACGAUCUUACCCUUUACUCAUAUUAAUGUUAUUCGUUGGGCAUAAGAAUGAACAUUGAAAUUGAAAUUGUUAACAUUUAAUAUAUACUAAAAAUUGUAGGGGAAAAAUAAAAAAAUAAUUAAUUUUAUCCUAAUUUAGUAAGUGGUCUUUUUUGGUGGGCUGAAACGCAUUAAAAAGAAAUAGCGGAGUAUUACAGUAGCACCUGGAUUAACCAGGAUCUACAAAAUUUGAGUUUGAGCUUAUGCCCUCUAAUGAAACAUUACAACACCUUGUUUGCCUAAUGAAACUAGUUCCUAGGAUGUCAGCCCAGGUAGCUUUGCAGCAUACAUUGGAGGAAUUACAAAAGAGUUUCUCUGUCCACAAACUUUCAGUCUUGCUCCUUCCUUAGCUAAUGCAUCCUUCACCAUAUUCUGCUCUUUAUAGCAGUGCUGGAUUUGUGGUCGUCCCAGACUCCUGAUUAGCAACCUGCAUCCAUUAAUUAUGGCAUUAUAGUGGAGGUUUCCCUCUUUGAGCAUAAUAAUAACCUUUUUCGAGUCUACAUUGAUGUCCACGGGAACUAAGGACAUUUCCUCCAUAAUUUUUAGUCCCUUUAGUUGAGCAAAGAGCUCCAUCUGGUUAUUAGUAAUCACAGGGAAAACUUUUUUGAAACCUGUAGUCCAAUUCCCUUCAUUGUCUCUAAUAACCCCUCCAAUACCACCCCUACCAGGAUUUCCCAAACAUGAGCCAUCAGUGUUAAGUUUAAAUCUUUCUUUAGAGGUUGGUUCCCACUUAACACUAAUGUUCAAUAAUCUAUUUGUCACGACCUGAAUCAAGGUCUGGCCGUGAUGGGCAUCCCUAGCCAACCAAGGUCGGAGAUGACCCCUAACCUUACCUCAAGAGCACAUCAGUAAAAACAAACAACAAAAUCCAACCAAGAUAAAAAGAGAAACAUAUGAUUCCAAAAGAAAGUUAAGAGUCAAAACCAACUCCAUAAUAAUAUCCCGACACUGCCUACAAAAGUCUCUAAUCCAAAAAUACCAACUAAGUCAAGACAUGUCCCCGACUAUAACAAAAGAAAUUCAAAAGUUCUGAAAUGAUAAAUGUAACUAAGAAAGAGGCCAAGUCUUUUGAUAGUUCAUAAGUUGGUUGAACUUGUGUUGAACUUAUUGUGGAUUAAAUACAAAUUUUGUACCCAGAAUAACAAUCUUAAGGAAUUUAUUAAUAAUUUUAAUUUUUGAGUUUCUAGAGAUUAAAACUUUUUGCUUUCUACGCUGUUUGAACUUUAUAGUGAUUUGAAGUUAUAAAAACUUCAUCACGGGUUAAUGUUCAUUCAGUUGAUGAUUAGAAGAACAUAAAAGCUUCAACAUUAAACUAGAAAUAAGUUGUUUAAAGUUUUUAAAACUUUAUUCUUAGUAUUUUGACUUACUAAAUUGGUUGUCUUUUUGUCACAGUAAAAAUGAUUAUUGAAAAUCAAGUUAAUGAUGGAAUGGUCAAUGUCACAACAACAAAUAUUGCUACUUAAAAUCGUUCAAAUGCUGCUCCGCCAAGGCACUGACAGAAAAAUCAGAAAGUUUUCUAGUGUGGAUUUUAAAAGAUGGCAGCAGAAGUUGUUCUUUUAUCUGACUACAUUAAAUCUACAAAGGUUCAUCACUGAAAGCAUUUCAGAGUUUUCGAAAGAAAUAUCCAAAAAUAUACUUUAUUACUACAAAAGCUUGAAAGCACUUGAAUUUUUUAUAUAAGAACUACAUACUGAGUGGCUACAACAUGGCAUGUACAAUGUGUACAGCAAUAUGAAGACCUCUAAGGAACUAUGGGUAGCUUUGGAAAAGAAGUACAACAUAGAGAAUGCAUGAAUGAAGAAAUUUAUUAUUGCAAGAUUUGUAGAUUUUAGGUGGUAGACAGUAAUACUGUAGUUACCCAAGUUCAAGAACCGCAAGUCAUCAUUCAUGAUCUCCUCACCAAAGGUAUAAAUUUGUUCUUGAUACUUACAUAGUCUCUGAUGUAGGCUUAAUUGUGAACGAGGCUUAUCAAGUAGCUGCUAUAAUCGAGAAGUUACCACAUUUGUGGAAAGACUUCAAAAACUACUUAAAGCACAAGCACAAGGAGAUGUCUUUCGAAGACCUUAUUGUGAGGUUAAGAAUCGAAGAGGACAAUAAAGCAUCAGAAAAGAGGUCUCGAUGGAAUUUACAAUAAGUAGAGAAAAUAUUGUGGAAGACGACCCCCAAUAAAUUAAAGAGAGAAAGGAAGCGUCAGGACAAUAAGGCAAUCCUCCUAAGAAGAAAUUCAAAGAAAAUUAUUUUAACUGUGACAAAGUUGGCCACAAGUCUUCAGAUUGUCAGGCUCCUAAGAAGGACAAGAAAAGAGGAUCAAGCUAACAUGGUUGAAUCCAAGAUGAUGUGGAGAUCUAUGUGCUAUGCUUUUGGAGUGCAUGUUGGUUGAAAAUCCUAGAGAGUAGUGGAUUAAUUCAGGUGCCACUAGCCACAAUGUGCCAACAAAAAAUUAUUUCCAUUAUAUUUUCUGGCUCAGGCUAAUGAGAACAUAUUCACGGUAACUCUGUUACGGUAAAGAUUGAAGGAAAAUGCAAGAUUUACUUGAAGAUGACAUUGGGCAAGGUGGUGACACUAAACAACGUCCUUUAUGUUUCAAAGUUGCGAAAGAACUUAGUUUCUACUUCACUUCUAACUAAAAAUAGAUUCAAAUAAGAAUUUGUUUCUGACAAAGCUGUAAUUAGUAAGCAAGAAGUGUAUGUAGGUAAAGGUUACUUCAUCGAGGAUUUUUUUAAGAUCAGUGUAAUAAAUGUUGAAAUCAAUAAAAAUUCUGUUUCUUCUUACUUACUUGAGUUAAAUGAAUUAUGGCAUGAACAUUUAGGACAUAUUAAUUACAAAACUUUGCAAAAACUGAUUAAUUUAAAAAUUUUGCCUAACUUUGAGUGUAAUAAAUCAAAUUGUCAAACAUGUGUGGAAUCUAAGUAUGCUAAGCAUCUAUAUAAGUCUGUUGAAAGGAAUUUCAAUCCCUUAGACUUAAUCCACACAAAUAUUUAUGCUAUGAAGUCAAUACCAUCUCAUGGUGAGAAAAAGUAUUUCAUAACUUUUAUUAAUGAUUGCGCUAGAUAUUGUUAUUUUUAUUUGCUAAAUGAUAAGAAUAAAGUAAUAGACGUAUUUUGGUAAUAUAAAACUAAAGUUGAAAACCAGUUGGAUAAAAAGAUCAAAAUAAUAAGAAGUAAUAGGAGUAGAGAGUAUGUAUCUUCUUUUGCAGGGGUAUGUUAGAAAAAAGGAAUUAUCCAUCAAACUAAUUUCCCGUAUUCACCUCAAUCAAAUGGGAUUGUGAAAAGAAAAAUUGAAUGUUAAAGAAAAUAAUAAUUGUCUUACUCAUAAGUUCAGAUAUACCGCAAAACUUGUGGGGGGAAGUUAUCCUUACAGCAAAUCGAAUACUCAAUAGAGUUCCCUAUAAGAAGACACACUCUAUCCUAUAUGAAAAUGAAAAGGAAGGAAACCCAACUUGAAAUAUUUCAAAGUGUGGGAUUGUCUAGCUAAAGUCCAAGUCUAUAUACCUAAAAGGAUAAAAAUAGGACCAAAGAUUGUGGAUUGUGUGUUCAUCGUAUAUGCUACAAGGAGUAAAGCAUUUCAAUAUUUGGUUCAUAAAUUCGAACCAUGAAAAUACGAUAAUCUGAAUCAGAUAAUAUUAAGUUCUUUGAAUACAUUUAUCCGUAUAAAAUUGGACAUGAGAUGUCUAGUGGAGGAUCUAAACAACCUCGAGAUGAACCAAAGGAGAAUGUACUUAAUAAUGAGAAUCAAGGUGUAGUACACGUCAAAUACCGUCAAUUUUCUUUGGAUAAGAUUUUGUAACAUUUCUUCUUGAAAAUGAGCCUUAAAAAUUGAAAGAAACGAUGUCGUCUUCAGACCCAUCCUUUUGGAAAGAGGCAAUCAAUGGUGAUAUAGAUUCAAUCUUGAGCAACCAUACUUAGGAAUUGAUUGAUCUUUCUCCGGUAAAUAAACCUUUAGGUUCUAAAUGGAUCUUCAAAAGGAAAAUAAAAGCUAGUGGUACUUUUGACAAUUAUAAGACAAGACUUGUUGUGAAAGAUUUUAGACAAAAAGAAGGCCUUUAUUAUUUCGAUACAUACUCGCCAAUAACAAGGAUAACGUUCAUUCAGAUGUUGGUUGCGUUGACGACAGUAUAUGAUGUUGAAAUUCAUCAAAUGGAUGUGAAUACAACGUUCUUAAAUAGAGAAUUGAAGGGAGAAAUUUACAUAAAACAACCUAAGGGUUUUGUAGUUUCUGGUAAAGAAAAGAAAUUGUGCAAACUUGUUAAAACACUUUAUGGAUUAAAACAAGCACCCAAAUAGUGGUAUAUAAAAUUUGACCAAACCAUGUUGGCAAACGAUUUCAGGAUAAACGAAUGUGAUAAAUGUGUUUACAUUAAAGACACUCCAAAUCACAAAGUCAUUAUUUGUUUGUAUGUGGAUGACAUGUUGACCAUCAGUAGAGACAUUCUAACAUAAAUGCUAUGAAAUAAAUGCCUGAGGGCAAGUUUGAUUUGAAAGACCUUAGAGUUGCUGACGUAAUCUUAGGGAUAAGAAUUUUUAGAACUCCAUAGGUAUUGGCGUUGUCACAGUCGCAUUACAUUGAAAAGGUGUUUGACAAGUUCAAGCAUUUAGAUUUCAAUAUUGUUGAGACUACAUUAGACAUGAGUUUUGCAUUUCAAAAGAAUGAAGGUGAAAGUAACUCACAGUUGGACUAUGCAAGAGUGUUGAAAAGUUUGGUGUAUAUAUCAUAAAUUGUACGUGAGAAGACAUAGAAUGCACUAUUAGUAAAUUAAGUCGGUAAAAGACUACUCCUAAUCAAACUCAUUGGAUGGAUAUGAAAAAAGUUUUAGGGUAUCUAAAACAUACCCAAGACUAUGUUUUUAUUAUAACAAAUAUCCAGCGUAGAUGAGGUGACUUUUCAAAAUAAUGUAAUUUUUCGUGAACCAUUACUUUCUUUCUGAAGCACCACAUUGUGGCUAUAAAUGCCUGAAUUUUUCCUCUGAUAAAGGUAUGAAGAUUUGAAGGGAAAAACAUUUUCUUUUUCUUCUUAAAACUCUGGUAUGAUCUUCAAACUAUUGAGUGAGUUCGUUGUUCAGAAAAUUUGAGGUACCACUAUUUUUUGAAGAGAAUCAUUUUUCGUAGGGAGGAUAUAUUCCUUUAACCUCGAGUACUUGACUAGAAUAAUUUUUUUAAGGAUACAUCGUGAAUUCAGUGGAUUUGACUCAAUCGUUUCUGUCUUCAUCCCAUUUUCUUAAAGUUGGUUUUAUUAUUUUUCCAGAAAAAUAGUUUGAACAUUAUAUUGAUAGUUCUUCAUUUGUUUGAACUUGUGUUUGAAGUUUUUGAAACUUCAUUUUGAUAGGUUAUAAGUUGUUGAACUUGUGUUGAAGUUAUUGUGGAUUAAAUACAGAUUUUGUACAAAAAAUAAUACGAAAUAGCUGUGAAACCUUGGGGAGCGACCAACUAAAAGAAUUUGCACCGAAGUCGAUCCGAAAUCACUUUCAAAGUAAUGGCUUACCACGACACAAUAUUUUCAGUUCCAUAUUAAUAUUAGAGUAAUUUUUCCAACAAGUGGCAAAGUUUGUUAUUUAACUACAAAAUUUGUUCGUCAACAAAUCCUUGUUUUUCUUUUGUUGGGUAGUAUAUUUUGGUUUUAUCUAAUCAAUCUAUUGACAAGCUAAGCGCCUACGAAAACGAUGUAGAUGUUCUACCUACGGGGGCGGGGGGGUGUCUAUUACAAUUACAAAAAUAAACUGAAUGUUGAGUUUCAGUUCCACUAACACCUUGCAAAAGUGAAUUACCCAUGAAAGAUGGGGGUAUUAUAUCAAAAAAAAAAAACAUAUCUUUUGUUGUUUUCUAAUUUCUAACGAUAUAUUUUUGAUCCAUUGCUUUCCCAUAGUAUGCUAACUUGACAGCCACUUUUUUUUGCUUUUCUAUAUACGUGGAACACUUUUUUUUUCGUCAAAAUGCGAAUCAUAAUUUAAUCCGUCAAUUUUUACUAAAUUGUAAUUGUCUUUUUUUUUUUAUAAACAGAGAUAGCAGGUAACCCAAGAAAAAAAAAUGUCUAGCAGAACAUAUUACGCAUCCUCGAAACUACUAUGACCUAUAAAACUAGAUGAUAAAAAAAUUGGUUUUAUCAUACUGGCACACUUGUAGAUGUUCCAUAAUUCAUGUAAAUUUACUUCAGAUGAAUUGUAGUUUUUGUGUUCAAAUUCAUAUAAAAACGAAAUGAUUUAAGUUUCGUUCUUUGAAUAUCGCCAUACAGAAAUAAAAUAGAACAAGGGGAGUACUUUUCUAGGUCUCUAUUUGAUAUUUUAUCAGUAACAAUUUGAAAAUAGUCAUAACUCAUACACGUAGUAGUAGGUGGAAAUGUUUCUGAUUGAAUUCGGCAUAAAAAUAUUUUUAUGGAAAAAAAGUUUCUUCUAGUUUUGGUUUAUAAGUGGAUCAAUUUUUGUGGAAAAAAAGUUUCUGCUAGUUUUGGUUUCUAAGUGGAUCAUUCCCUAGCGCUCUACUAAAUGAUUUAAUUUUAUAUAAAGAAGAUGAAAUUAUAAGAAAAAAGAGAAAAAAGAAAAAGACUAGAGAUCUAAAGAAGGGAAAACUUAAAGUAUGUGGUAAUAACUUCUUUUAUUCAUCACAUAAUCUCUGCAUUUUGCAAGGAGAUUGAAACUGAGCAAACAUACACAAAGACAUAAAAGUAAAAAUACAAAUAUAAAUAGAGUACAAACAAUAUCACUAAUAACUUAGAGAACAUGAAGCUACAAAAGAACUUCGCCUCCCGUGGGGCUUAUUGUUUACUCUUUUUUCUUCUUUUUGGCAUUGCCUCUCGAAAUGGAAAAUGCCUUUCCUUGAGCUCAACAUUCUGCUUUUCCUGCAUAAGAAUAUAAUAUUGUCAAUGAGAACAUAUAGUAACUGAUUAAUAAACCUAAUAAGUAGGAGAUAGCAUAGGCUUAUAUAUUAAUGCGUUUGCAUGAAGAAAUUGUGCAACUUGUAUUGAUUUGCAUUUAGACAAAUCAUUUUUAAGAAUUUUAGUUUGGCUUAAUUACCUUAGAUUUGAUGUUGUUGUUUCUUAGUGAUGGUAGGGAGGAGGUGGAGACUUGUAAACCGGAGUUGGUGGUGGUGGAGACUUGUAUACUGGUGCAGGAUGGUGUGGUGUUGGUGAAGGAUGGUAUGGAUUCACUGGUGGUGGUGACUUGUAAACGGGUGUUGGUGGUGGUGGAGAUUUGUAUACUGGUGCAGGGUGGUAUGACUUCACUGGUGGUGGUGGUGACUGGUAAACGGGUGUUGGUGGUGGUGGAGACUUAUAAACUGGUGCAGGAUGAUAUGGCUUCACUGGUGAUGGUGGUGACUUGUAAACGGGUGUUGGUGGUGGUGGAGACUUAUAAAUUGGUGUGGGAUGAUAUGGUGUUGGUGGAGGAUAGUAUGGCCUCUUAGGUGGUGGUGGUGACUUGUAAACUGGAGUUGGUGGUGGUGGCGACUUGUACACUGGAGUGUGUGGCGGGUAGUAUGGCUUUUUGGGUGGUGGUGGGGACUUGUAAACUGGAGUUGGGGGUGGUGGAGACUUGUAAACUGGGGUGUGUGGAGGGUAGUGUGGUGGUGACUUGUAAACUGGAGUCGGGGGUGGUGGAGACUUGUAAACUGGGGUGUGUGGAGGAUAAUGUGGCUUCUUUGGUGGUGGUGGGGACUUGUAAACUGGAGUGUGUGGAGGAUAGUGUGGCUUCUUCGGUGGUGGUGGUGACUUGUAAACAGGAGUUGGUGGUGGUGGCGACUUGUGAACUGGUGCGGGAUGAUAAGGUGUUGGUGAAGGGUGGUAUGGCUUCUUAGGUGGUGGUGGAGAUUUGUAAACAGGAUGAUGAUGGUGUGGUGGAGGGGACUUAUAUACUGGGUGGUGAUGGUUUGGUGGAGGAGACUUAUAUACUGGGUGGUGGGGUGGAGAUGGAUAGACAUGCACUGGUGGAGGAGGAGAUGAAUAAUGAUAAUUUGCAGAGCUUUCAGAAGCUAAGCUAAGUGACACUAAAACCACCAAAAGAGUGGCAACUAGAGAGGCCAUUUUCCCCAUAUU